AUUGAACGCUAGCGGGAUGCUUUACACAUGCAAGUCGAACGGCAGCGCGGACUUCGGUCUGGCGGCGAGUGGCGAACGGGUGAGUAAUGUAUCGGAACGUACCCAGUAGCGGGGGAUAACUACGCGAAAGCGUAGCUAAUACCGCAUACGCCCUACGGGGGAAAGCAGGGGAUCGUAAGACCUUGCACUAUUGGAGCGGCCGAUAUCGGAUUAGCUAGUUGGUGAGGUAACGGCUCACCAAGGCGACGAUCCGUAGCUGGUUUGAGAGGACGACCAGCCACACUGGGACUGAGACACGGCCCAGACUCCUACGGGAGGCAGCAGUGGGGAAUUUUGGACAAUGGGGGCAACCCUGAUCCAGCCAUCCCGCGUGUGCGAUGAAGGCCUUCGGGUUGUAAAGCACUUUUGGCAGGAAAGAAACGUCGCGGGCUAAUACCCCGUGGAACUGACGGUACCUGCAGAAUAAGCACCGGCUAACUACGUG
RNAcentral lists this ribosomal RNA (484 nucleotides) under uncultured bacterium. RNAcentral's name for it is "partial 16S ribosomal RNA". It matches the Rfam family "Bacterial small subunit ribosomal RNA", at positions 30 to 507 of the family's 1533-position model. The record is from RNAcentral.